AUCUGCAUUUUCUUUAAAGAAGGUGGAAAGUUUUACUGGAGGAUCAAAAACUAAGGAGGUUGCCAUGAUGGUCUGGGUCAGGUGGAGUCACCACAAGUACAACCCAUAAAAUAAAGCAAGAGUGAUUCGUACUUCUAUAAGGAACAAGUUUAGUUCUUGGAUUUUGACUUGGAAUCCCCUGGAUGAACUCUUUAUUAGGAGUCAAUGACGGAUGGAGAAGCCAUGCAGAGGACUCACCCUGGCACUGGUUUUUUGCAGAUGUCAUUAAGAUGUAAAUGAAGAUGAGGUCAUACUGGAGUAGGACAGGCCCUUAAUCUAGUGUGACUAUUGUCCCUUUAAGAAAGAAGAGACACUGAGAUACACAAGGAGGGAGAACACCACGCAACAUUAGUGGCAGA
This is a long non-coding RNA of Eptesicus fuscus (big brown bat), 398 nucleotides long. RefSeq lists it as uncharacterized. The record is from RefSeq and is a predicted model, not a curated record. The transcript has 3 exons. Lineage: Eukaryota; Metazoa; Chordata; Mammalia; Chiroptera; Vespertilionidae.